This 260-nucleotide ribosomal RNA is filed under the name uncultured prokaryote. RNAcentral describes it as "partial 16S ribosomal RNA". It matches the Rfam family "Bacterial small subunit ribosomal RNA", at positions 524 to 782 of the family's 1533-position model. The record is from RNAcentral.
UACGUAGGGUGCAAGCGUUGUCCGGAAUUACUGGGCGUAAAGAGCUCGUAGGUGGUUUGUCGCGUCGUCUGUGAAAUUCCGGGGCUUAACUUCGGGCGUGCAGGCGAUACGGGCAAUACUUGAGUGCUGUAGGGGAGACUGGAAUUCCUGGUGUAGCGGUGGAAUGCGCAGAUAUCAGGAGGAACACCGAUGGCGAAGGCAGGUCUCUGGGCAGUAACUGACGCUGAGGAGCGAAAGCAUGGGUAGCGAACAGGAUUAGA